This 460-nucleotide ribosomal RNA is filed under the name uncultured bacterium. Its description in RNAcentral is "partial 16S ribosomal RNA". It matches the Rfam family "Bacterial small subunit ribosomal RNA", at positions 338 to 795 of the family's 1533-position model. The record is from RNAcentral.
CCUACGGGAGGCAGCAGUGAGGAAUAUUGGUCAAUGGACGAGAGUCUGAACCAGCCAAGUAGCGUGAAGGAUGACUGCCCUAUGGGUUGUAAACUUCUUUUAUAUGGGAAUAAAACGUUCCACGUGUGGGAUUUUGUAUGUACCAUAUGAAUAAGGAUCGGCUAACCCCGUGCCAGCAGCCGGGGUAAUAAGGAGGAUCCGAGCGUUAACCGGAUUUAUUUGGUUUAAAGGGAGCGUAGGUGGAUUGUUAAGGCAGUUGUGAAAGUUUGCGGCUCAACCGUAAAAGUGCAGUUGAAACUGGCAGUCUUGAGUACAGUAGAGGUGGGCGGAAUUCGUGGUGUAGCGGUGAAAUGCUUAGAUAUCACGAAGAACUCCGAUUGCGAAGGCAGUUCACUGGACUGCAACUGACACUGAGGCUCGAAAGUGUGGGUAUCAAACAGGAUUAGAUACCCGUGUAGUC